UGUGCUGAACACAGAAAAGUCAUGACUUGAAAAUACUGCUUAGAUUUGUUGAAAUUGACAUCAAAACAUGCCAAAAUCAUUAGACUGCCAGAAAAAAUGAAGAAAGCAAACAAGCACUAGUGCACAUUUUAUUUACUCAAGAAACACGCAAAGAUUAUGCACCACACCACAUCAACCGAUAUGCUCAUAAGAAAUAUUUACUCGAGUUGAUUUUCGGCUGGAUCGAGUCGAAGUUCAGAAUGGCACCGCUCAUCAUCAGCGUCACAGUCCUCAAGAUCCGAUGAACUGCUGAAAUUGAAUCGCUAUCCUGAAUCAUUCAAAGUGCCUCCUGAGCAUCAAAUCCACAUGCCAUCUCGCAACAACUUUUACUUCCAAACAGGUAGCCUAAACUAUGACAGAUUUGAUCCUGUUUACGGUGGGCGUUCCAACUGUGAAAGCGAAACCAAUCGAAACUGAAAGAGUGAAAGUGAUUAUCAUGCCGUUACCAUGUGAAUAGUCUUUUAUGAAUGUGUGAGUGCAGGCUCAGUGCUCCGACUCUGGUGUGACUGAGUAAGGUGACAAGUUUUAUGUUUCAUCUAAUUAAAAAAAAAAAAUUAUUUGGCAGUGGGCACAUAGGAAAGUGUAAAGUUUCUAUCAAUAUUUUUAUAAUGCUCAUAUGAUAAACUCAAAAGAUAUUAAUAUAAAUACAUGACCAACUCAUUCUAAUCCUGCCAAGCUUCACCAGUGAAGCUCUCGACCCCAGAGUGUUAAUCCAUCUGAAGCAGUAAACACACACACACACACACCCAGAGCAGUGAGCAGCUGUGCUACAGCGCCUGGGGAUUUUUAUUAUUAUUAUUUUUUUUAUAAUUAGAAGACUUUAUUUGAUGGCUCUGUGUUACUAAGGUAAACAGCUACGUCACAAGCGGAUAUCCAGUUUGAGUGCAAAUGGCCACACCCAGACAAGCCUAUUCUUAGCAAGAUCGCAAAUUUUAAAAUGAAUAAAUUAAGAUUUUAUUUUUAAUUAAAACAUGCAGGGGGAGGGGGGCAUAUCAGGGCAUUUGCCAUGAUUGGUAAAUAAACAGUGUUUAGUUUUUGAGUUUUGUUUGGCUUUAAGGCUCCUUUCACAUCUGCAUUGUUUAGUCCGUUUGAAUGGAACCUUGUUGUGUUCUCUCAGUACGGUUCUUGAGGUAGAUGUGAACAUAAAUCACACUCGAACAAAAACAACUGGUCAAAUAUCAUCUGAGCGAGUUGGACUCGGUCCACCUUAAAGUGAACAAUUCAACUCUGAAUCAACUCACCUGCAGGAAGUGACUCAAUCCUGCCAUGUAUUUUUGGGUUGCAUAUUUUUUGAAACCUGUGAGCUCAGGCAUAAACUGAGCCAUUGCACUGAGCUGCUGAAGUACCAUGCGUUCUGGAUAUCUGGAGUGACGAACAAAAAAAAUGUUCUCGAUGCUCAGGUGACCUUUGUGUACUUAGUAAAAGUUUGUUUACAUUUUAACAUUGGGGUUUUUUUUUUUGACCAAUUACAGUGCUGUUAUGGGUUGAAACCCAAUUUUCGCACCAUGUCAGUGUUGUGAAAUUCACUACAAAUUUCAUGGGACUCUUAAAGGGAAAGUGUUCCAAUUUCUGUUACUUUCACCGUUACUGUACAUUGUUACAGCCAUACAAUAAAAUGUUUGUCUAAAAUUUAUUGAUGUGCAAAAUUAUAAACUAAAACAGGGUGACACGAAUUAAAGAACGAAAGUAGUGGGUUACUGUAGCAUCCCACCAGUCCUCCAGUCAGUCAAGCUAUCGAAUGUGAGUGGAGAGCGCAAACCAGCCUUCUCCUUUCAGUUUAUCCACCUGCACAAAACACAAUGAUGGACGACAUAUUUUAUUUUGGAUCAUGCCUUUAGCUUUUAGUACCAAGAUUAUGUUUUUUAAAUGCAAGUGUGGAUGCCAAAAAACCACAAUAAAAUGGAAAGUAAUCAAUGUUCUUGAGUUUUAUUUGUUUGAAAUGGAACUAAUAUUGAAAUCCUGCAGCUGCAAACUUUUUGUUGUAUAAAACGGUUUAAGUGUAUUAUUCUAAAAAGUCAGAACAUUUCUAUGCAUCAAGAACAUGUCAAACGGCAGACAAAAUUGUGGAUUUCAGUGCAAGCAGAGCUUCAUUAUAACGGUUGGUAACAAUCUCCUGUGACCCCAGGGGUGAGAAUGUGUGUUGUCGUCGUGUGUGAAAUGCGUGUACCUGUGGAUUAACAGACUGCUUUUGUCUUCCUUCUAUAUUUUGUGGAGAAACUGCUUCAGCUGACCUGCAGAACAACAGCAAUGGUUUAAAACCCUGAACAGCUGCAGAGAAGCAGGCUGCUGAGAUUCGCCUUAUAGCCUCAGUAGAGCCGUUAGUGUGAAUGUGAAGCACCUUCUACUGUUUGUCUUGGCGUGAGAGGACUCGGCUCUUUCAGACUUGCUCUGAGAGAGAAAAAGUACGUUUUCUCAAAAGCAGGGGGCGACGAACGGGUGUCUGAGCACUGCGUGGGAGAGGCAUGGUUGUCCCUGAGCCGAGUCCGGAUCACUGCGUUCUGAG
Molecule: long non-coding RNA, 2542 nt
Organism: Neoarius graeffei (lesser salmon catfish)
Lineage: Eukaryota; Metazoa; Chordata; Actinopteri; Siluriformes; Ariidae
Exons: 3
Source: RefSeq, a predicted model, not a curated record